CGCAUCUGUGCAUGCAGCAUAUCAAUAAGCGGAGGAAAAGAAACUAACAAGGAUUCCCCUAGUAACGGCGAGUGAAGCGGGAAGAGCUCAAAUUUGAAAUCUUAAAGGGUUUCCCUUUACGAAUUGUAGUUUAAAGAAGUGUUUUCUGUUGAGGUUUUGGUAAAAGUUCUUUGGAAUAGGACAUCAUAGAGGGUGAGAAUCCCGUAUUUGACCUUUACUUUCAACUUUGUGAUACACUUUCAAAGAGUCGGAUUGUUUGGGAAUGCAGUCCAAAAUGGGUGGUAAAUUUCAUCUAAAGCUAAAUAUUGGCGAGAGACCGAUAGCGAACAAGUACCGUGAGGGAAAGAUGAAAAGAACUUUGAAAAGAGAGUUAAACAGUACGUGAAAUUGUCAAAAGGGAAGCGUUUGACACCAGUGUUGUUUUUCUGAAAAUCAAUUAAAGAACUGUUUAUGCUAAGCUGUUUAGACUUUAUCAGCUAUCUGUUUAGUUUUGAGCUUUUCUUUAAUGCACUUUUCAGUUAACAAGUCAACAUCAAUUUCUUUUGCUAUAAAAAAGCUUGAGGAAGGUGGCUUGAGAUUCGUCUUAAGUGUUUAUAGCCUCUUGCCUAUGCAGUCGGAGAGAUUGAGGUCUGCAGCGUAGAUCCUUCGGGGCUAAAUGCAUUUGUGCUAAGUUAUAGCAUUUUAUAGACAACUUGUUGACUAUGAUUUGUCUUGUAGCUUACUCGCUUAUGUUAUUUUACCUACGCUUAGGAUGUUGAGUCAUCACACAUCUCU
Molecule: ribosomal RNA, 774 nt
Filed under: uncultured Neocallimastigales
Lineage: Eukaryota; Fungi; Neocallimastigomycota; Neocallimastigomycetes; Neocallimastigales
Description: partial large subunit ribosomal RNA
Rfam family: Eukaryotic large subunit ribosomal RNA
Source: RNAcentral